Molecule: ribosomal RNA, 481 nt
Filed under: uncultured bacterium
Lineage: Bacteria
Description: partial 16S ribosomal RNA
Rfam family: Bacterial small subunit ribosomal RNA
Source: RNAcentral
GAUGAACGCUGGCGGCGUGCCUAAUACAUGCAAGUCGAACGCUUCACUUCGGUGAAGAGUGGCGAACGGGUGAGUAAUACAUAAGUAACCUGGCAUCUACAGGGGGAUAACUGAUGGAAACGUCUGCUAAGACCGCAUAGGUGUAGAGAUCGCAUGAACUCUAUAUGAAAAGUGCUACGGGACUGGUAGAUGAUGGACUUAUGGCGCAUUAGCUUGUUGGUAGGGUAACGGCCUACCAAGGCGACGAUGCGUAGCCGACCUGAGAGGGUGACCGGCCACACUGGGACUGAGACACGGCCCAGACUCCUACGGGAGGCAGCAGUAGGGAAUUUUCGGCAAUGGGGGAAACCCUGACCGAGCAACGCCGCGUGAAGGAAGAAGUAAUUCGUUAUGUAAACUUCUGUCAUAGAGGAAGAACGGUGGAUAUAGGGAAUGAUAUCCAAGUGACGGUACUCUAUAAGAAAGCCACGGCUAACUACGU